GGAACUAAUUACAACGAGUAUAUGGGCCGUAUGUUAGGUAUAUGAUAGCGUUUACUAUCCAAUUAGUGGUUUGGUCCGGUAGUUCCUUCCCAGAUCGAGGUACCAAUACAGCGGCGGGGGUAUUUGGUAUAAUUAACACGGGAUUAUAUGGAUUUGGAACAUACCUUAUGUGCGUAGAGUCGAGGAGUAUAAUUAGGUUGUAAAUGGAGGGUGGGGGGUUCUACGUUCAUUUACAGUGUGCCUUUUUCUUUCUGAUUUCCUACGUGAAACAGGGUAGUAAAAUGCAAUUGUAGCUACAUGACAUUUUGUAACAUUAAAAUAGCAUAGUCUUGGUUUUAUCUGCAAAGUUUA
Molecule: long non-coding RNA, 351 nt
Organism: Photinus pyralis (common eastern firefly)
Lineage: Eukaryota; Metazoa; Arthropoda; Insecta; Coleoptera; Lampyridae
Exons: 2
Source: RefSeq, a predicted model, not a curated record